GCUCACUUACCUGGGGGCUCUAGGAGGGGAUCCCUCUCCUUCUCUUCUCCAGCUUCCAGAGGCCGCCCAUGCUCCAUCAUCAAAGCCAGGAGCAUCACCUUUCUCUAACCUUCUCCCAUAGCUAAGCUCUGGCUCCCUGGGACCACAACGGAGGAAGCCUGCCACUGUGAGGACCCAUGGGAUUGCACGGGGCCCACCCAGUUCAUCCAGCAAAACCCCUCCACCUCCAGGUCCUUAAUGGAAUCACAUCCACAGAAGUCCCUCCUGCCAUGUAAGGUGACAUAUUCACGGUUCCGGGGAUAAAGCCGGGGGCCUCUUUGGAGGCUGUUAUUCUGCCUGCCACACCCACCACAGGUCUCGAACCCCAGGGUAAACACCUUUCUGGCAUCCAGAGAGUCAUCUGUGCCUGAAUUUCUGAGAAGGAGGAGCAGUGGUUGAUAACCGUCCCCAGCAAGUUAAGUCACAUGGUGACAGAGAGGAGAAAAGGCCACGGUCGG
This 497-nucleotide long non-coding RNA is filed under the name Marmota monax (woodchuck). The record is from RNAcentral. Lineage: Eukaryota; Metazoa; Chordata; Mammalia; Rodentia; Sciuridae.